GAUGCAAUUGCAUCACUACCAGAUGGGCCCGCGGCCUAUCAGCUUGUUGGUGGGGUGAUGGCCUACCAAGGCGACGACGGGUAGCCGGCCUGAGAGGGUGACCGGCCACACUGGGACUGAGAUACGGCCCAGACUCCUACGGGAGGCAGCAGUGGGGAAUAUUGCACAAUGGGCGCAAGCCUGAUGCAGCGACGCCGCGUGAGGGAUGACGGCCUUCGGGUUGUAAACCUCUUUCGCCAGGGACGAAGC
RNAcentral lists this ribosomal RNA (249 nucleotides) under uncultured Mycobacterium sp. RNAcentral describes it as "partial 16S ribosomal RNA". It matches the Rfam family "Bacterial small subunit ribosomal RNA", at positions 202 to 451 of the family's 1533-position model. Lineage: Bacteria; Bacillati; Actinomycetota; Actinomycetes; Mycobacteriales; Mycobacteriaceae. The record is from RNAcentral.